RNAcentral lists this ribosomal RNA (309 nucleotides) under Triticum aestivum (bread wheat). Its description in RNAcentral is "partial small subunit ribosomal RNA". The record is from RNAcentral. Lineage: Eukaryota; Viridiplantae; Streptophyta; Magnoliopsida; Poales; Poaceae.
AUGGCGGCAACGAGGGUGGAGGGCGAGCCGCCGCCGUUCACCCAUGAGGACAAUCGCCGCUUCCUCCAGAUGCUCCGCGACAAGAAGCAAAUGCUGGGAGUCGCCAGCCCCAAGGCCGUGGAGGUGCAGUUCCAGGACCUCACCGUGGAGAUCCACGAGCGCAUCGGCCGCCGGGAGCCGCCGACGCUGCCCAACUGCGUCGUCAACGCCGCCCAGGAGUUGGCAUCAUAUUCGCACAUGUGUACUACAAGGAAAAGAGCAAUCAAAAUUAUAAAUGGAGCAAGCGGAACAAUUCGACCGUCAAGGUAA